RNAcentral lists this long non-coding RNA (688 nucleotides) under Homo sapiens (human). Its description in RNAcentral is "HSALNT0315142". The record is from RNAcentral. Lineage: Eukaryota; Metazoa; Chordata; Mammalia; Primates; Hominidae.
CUUUCUUCCUAGUCAUGAGUAGUGAGGGGUGAGUGGCUUCUGCCAGGCCUCUGUGGGCCUAGCACUCGGUGGCAGUGGGUGAGGGUCGUUGAGUCCGGCAAAGAGACAUGGAGCAGACGCUCUUCAGCCAUCCUUGCGUUAUUGAGCUCGGAGACUCGGGAGUUUGGGCCAGGGCAGUUCCUCCACCAGUCCCGACGUUUGCGCUACCUAAGCACGUUUGGAUUUAACAGGACCAUUUCAACUCCAAGACAGGUGAAAAUGUCACUGCGUAACUUUCACAACCGGUGGAUUUUCCUGGAUAUGCUUACAGAGAUGUCUGACAACCAUCAGAGGCAGCCAAAGUAUUGUGGACAGUUGACACAAUGUCAGUCUGUGGCAUCUUCACUGCCAAGUGAUAUUUCCACUCUAGAUAGCUAAACCCGAUUUUUUAAAAACUCACCUUUGGUAUAUAACAUCAGUUGGAAACUUCACACUGUUUUAGUUCUUCACUCUAAAGUGGAUAUCAACUUUAGUAACUGAUGACAGAUCCCAGCUUCCACAGUAAAAAUAGCCUCUGGUUUGGCCUGAUGUGUUUCCUCUUGCUAAGGAAGGGACUCUGGAGCAAACCAGCCUUGCAUAGAUUUAAGGAGAACAUUAUUCAUAUUUUGCACCUAUUACACCAUUGUAUUUGCAAUAAACUUUAAGGAAA